Syngnathus acus (greater pipefish) is the source of this 1342-nucleotide long non-coding RNA. RefSeq lists it as uncharacterized. The transcript has 2 exons. The record is from RefSeq and is a predicted model, not a curated record. Lineage: Eukaryota; Metazoa; Chordata; Actinopteri; Syngnathiformes; Syngnathidae.
GUUAGGGCUAGGACACUCCUGUUUGCCUAAUAGUGGACAAUAACAAACAUCCGCUCGGCUCCCAGCCUCCCCCCAACAACUGAACCCCAUCCUCGGAAAUCCCGGAAAAAAAAUCUCUUUUAAAUAUAUUAAGUAUUUGUUUGUUUCUGAUUUAUUGUGCGCUCAUGUGUGAAGAACACAUUUUUCUCUCACACAAAAAACAUGUGACAUACAGCAUUAAAGUUCAUAUAGCGUGAAGGUAUUUGGAAAGGUGCACGUAUUUUACGCAUGGAAAAAAAAAUAAUAAUAAUUUUGCACAUUUGCUUUUAUUCAGCAAGUUCUUUUCCGGUUUUCAUCGUGCGUUUAAACGCGUAAAAGCGCGCACCGUCACAUGCUAUAUUCCGGUGAGCCCCGUACGCUCUUCCCCGGUCAACGCGCCCCUUUCCAGCUAUUAUUGAAACUUCCGACCACGGAGCGAGUGCACGCAGCUUUCACUCCACUGCUCGACGCGCUCUUUCAACCACCUCACCCAAACAAGAAAAUGUCGGAGAAAAGGGUACAAAUGGAUUGGACUUGGUGAAAAUUCUUCUCCAAACUCACCAGACAUGACGACAGAGAUGAUGAAAAGUUUCCCUGAUGAAGACCCGUGGGGCUCCUCAAUGUCCUUUUCUGCCUCAGCACAAUGACCAAGAACGAAAAUUGUACAAAAGUCUCCAAAAAUAUCAACACAAAUCUGUUAGAGCAGCGUCAGGGCAUACAACAAUAUUGUUAUAUAGCUGGGAACAUAUUAGUUUGGGAUUUUCUCCCUCCAUGCCUACUAUUUAAAACCCCUAGAACUCAAUGAUUUGACAAUGAUUUGAUUGCGCGUUACUUUCGAUUUGAAUAUUCAGAGGCAACCGAGUUAAAUCGAUUUUUCAGCAAAAUUCACUAAAUUAGUGCAGUCUAUAUGUACACUUUUAAUAUAUCAUGACUUUAUUUUAUAUUUUGAUCAAAAAUAAACGGUAUUUUUAUUCAUUUAUCGUCCUUUUGCAAGAUGACAGCAGCACACACCCCUCAUUAAGCACUUCGGCACAGUGCGUUUUGUGCGCAAUUUAAACACCACAAUUUUAUUUUAAUACGUUAUCGGAUAUUAAUAGGGCUCAGCCAACAAGUCAUUACCACGAUCGGGCACAUUUAAGGCUUUAAUACUGAAAAACUGUGAUAAAAGUGGGACUUGGGUGGGCGUGGCAAAGGGCAGUAGCCAUCUUUGGAUCCACGGGCCUUCAGCAAGUGCAGAAAGUGCAGAAACAAGUCCACUUAUGAUGGCUGAAGCGUUACGCAAUCAAUCUCUGUAAUUAAAACAUAUCAUUAUGUUUUUUCUUGA